RNAcentral lists this long non-coding RNA (1071 nucleotides) under Equus caballus (horse). Its description in RNAcentral is "lncRNA (ENSECAG00000054667.1)". Lineage: Eukaryota; Metazoa; Chordata; Mammalia; Perissodactyla; Equidae. The record is from RNAcentral.
GCUGUGAUUAUGUGUGUUUGAUGGAGGAUGCAUUGCCCAUGAAGGCAGAUGCAGUGAUUGCAGUGCCACUUCAGGUGGAUCCAAUGUGCCUGCAGUGGUUGCAGUUCCUGUUGCAUUGUCCCUGAACAUGGAUGCAGUGCCCAUGCAAUGGCUGCAAGUCACUGUAGGUAGAUACAGUACGUUGUGCUGGAGGAAGCAGUGGCCAUGAAGGUGGAUGCAGUGAUCCUGGGGUGGUUGCAGUGCCCCCUGCAGGGUACAUGAAUGAGGAUGCCAUGCCCUUGCAGUGGAUUCAGUGUCCCACAUGGUGGAUGCAGUAUGUUAUGAUGGAUAAUGCAUUGCCCAUGAAGGUGCAUGCAGUGUUCCUGCACUGUUUGUCAUGCCCCAUUCUGUUUCCAUGAUUGUGGAUGCAGUGCCCGUGCAGUGAAUACAGUGUCCAACAAGGCAGAUGCACUAUGUUUUAAUGGAGGAUGCAUUGCCCAUGAAGAUGCAUGCAGUGUUAAUGCACUGGUUGUCAUGCCACAUUUUGUGUCCCUGAUUGUGGAUGCAGUGCCCAUGAAUGUGGAUGCGGUGAUCCUGCAGUUGUUGCAGUGUCCCCUUCAGGUUCCCUGAAUCUGGAUGCAGUGCCCAUGAAUGUGGAUGCAGUGAUCCUGAAGUGGUUGCAGUGCGUAUGCAGUGCCACUUCAGCUGGAUGCAGUGUCCCUGCAGUCGCUGCAGUGAAAACUGCACUGUCCCUAUAUUCAGAUGCCAUGCUCAUGCAGUGAUGAAGUAUGUUGUGAUGGAGGAUGCAGUGCCCAUGAAGGCAGAUGCAGAGAUCCUGCAGGCAUUGCACUGCACCUGUAGUGCCACAUCAGCUGGAUCCAGGGUCCCUGCAGUGGUUGCAGUGCCUGUUGCCCUGUGCAUGAACGUGGGUGCAGGUCCCAUGCUAUGGCUGCAGUGUCACUGAAGGUAGAUGCAGUAUGUUGUGACAGAGGAUGCAGUGCCCGUGAAGAUUCAUGCAGUCAUCCUGCAGUGGUUGAAGUGCCCCCUGCAGGGUCCCUGAAUGAGAAUGCCAUGUCCUUGCAGUGGAUUCAG